AAGACGCUGCGUAUGGUCUCAAUGUGGCUACGGGCCGCCAGGCAUGUUUGGACAGUCAGUUUUUUGGAGCCCCGCGCGAUGGCCGGACUAGCCCCGCACAACUCCAUACGGCUCCGGCGAUCGAAGUGGGUCCGGCCCCGCGAGGCCGUACGGCUCAAGCGACCACGUUAGGUCGCGCUCACCGCAUGCUGGUGGGACAGGCCCUUAAAUUGGUGUUAUAAAUAUCUAAGAUAUAAUUUUCACCUUUUCCAGAUCCUGGCGACGUCAGUGGGAUUCUGGAUGCCCCAGAGGUGAUCAUCAUAUUUACCAGCAAGCGGUGCCAUAUCUGUAAGGUCUACCAUCUCCUAAGAUGUCGACACUGCUACAGCUGUGAUGUGUGUGUAGAGUUACCUCAUUGCAGCUGGAAUGAACAUAUAUGAGCAGAUUAUGAGGACAUAUAAACAUGAAAGGAAUCAAUUUGAUAAGGGAUGUUGGAGAAACUUUACUGUCCUGUUGUUCGGUCACCAGCUAUCGAGCUGCAAAAAAAGAAUGAAGUCACCGUGCUCCCAAGUUCUCUGGUGGAAUGUCCGUCCGUCAGUUCAAAGUGUGCGGACACCACAUCUGCCACUUUUACAGCCAUCCUAUCUUGUUCCAAUGCUGUUGUUCCACUACCUGUUGCUUGUGUUCCUACUUUACCCAACCGCCCCCAAAGUGCCCCCUUGCCCACUUUCUCUUACCUUAAUGAAAACUC
Molecule: long non-coding RNA, 730 nt
Organism: Leucoraja erinaceus (little skate)
Lineage: Eukaryota; Metazoa; Chordata; Chondrichthyes; Rajiformes; Rajidae
Exons: 5
Source: RefSeq, a predicted model, not a curated record